Non-coding RNA from Kogia breviceps (pygmy sperm whale), 438 nucleotides. Lineage: Eukaryota; Metazoa; Chordata; Mammalia; Artiodactyla; Physeteridae. The record is from RefSeq and is a predicted model, not a curated record.
AAGUCCUGAGCUCUCAGAGAUGAUGUCAAAGGUGGUCUCUGCUGCUGAAGAGCUUCCACUUCUGGUAUCCUGGCUAACCCAUCUCUGCCCGUAGGGAUUGCUCUUGGAAAAAAAGCAGCAGGGGCCAUCCUGAUGGGAGCCAAACGGACAGCAGAGGUUGGGGGAUGCUUUGGAUUUGCCAGCACUUGGCCACGGCUCAACCUAGUCUCAGUUCACAAAUGAUUCAAGCACUGAGCAAGGACUUGUAGGAUGCUCUGGGCUCGUGAAGUGACAUGUGUGCUCCUCGGCUGUCUGAAAACCUCAGUGGCUGUACUGCCACCUUCAGCUGGAGUGACCCUACUGGAGCCGUUAAAUGGAGAAUCUCUAUCUCAGUCUGAUGUGGGUUACGGCUGGAAAGUCUUGGUUGCACUUUCUGUCACUGGUGCAGAAAGAACGUCC